Molecule: ribosomal RNA, 237 nt
Filed under: uncultured bacterium
Lineage: Bacteria
Description: partial 16S ribosomal RNA
Rfam family: Bacterial small subunit ribosomal RNA
Source: RNAcentral
GCACAAGCAGUGGAGUAUGUGGUUUAAUUCGAAGCAACGCGAAGAACCUUACCAGGUCUUGACAUCCAACUAACGAAGUAGAGAUACAUUAGGUGCCCUUCGGGGAAAGUUGAGACAGGGGGUGCAUGGUUGUCGUCAGCUCGUGUCGUGAGAUGUUGGGUUAAGUCCCGCAACGAGCGCAACCCUUGCUAUUAGUUGCUACGGAAGAGCACUCUAAUAUGACUGCCGUUGACAAAA